GCAGUGCAUCAGGCAAGAGGUUCUAAUCAUGAGUCGGAUAAUCUCACUUCCCAUCACUCCAUGAUGGGUCCCCC
RNAcentral lists this ribosomal RNA (74 nucleotides) under Paraphysomonas bandaiensis. The record is from RNAcentral. Lineage: Eukaryota; Chrysophyceae; Chromulinales; Paraphysomonadaceae.